GUGUUCUAAGUCGUAACAAAAAUGCGCAAUUAAAAGUAGCAGUGAUAAUUAUAAAGAAAUUAGGACUUUUAUUGGUUAAUAGCUGAGUAAAGAUAGACGACUUAGGUCGG
RNAcentral lists this microRNA precursor (110 nucleotides) under Schistosoma mansoni. RNAcentral describes it as "microRNA sma-mir-8422 precursor". The record is from miRBase by way of RNAcentral. Lineage: Eukaryota; Metazoa; Platyhelminthes; Trematoda; Strigeidida; Schistosomatidae.